UCGAGAAUUUUUCACAAUGGGCGAAAGCCUGAUGGAGCGACGCCGCUUGGGGGAUGAAUGGCUUCGGCCCGUAAACCCCUGUCAUUCGCGAGCAAACGUUAUUAUUUAAAAGAUGAUAGCCUGAUAGUAGCGAAAGAGGAAGGGACGGCUAACUCUGUGCCAGCAGCCGCGGUAAUACAGAGGUCCCAGGCGUUGUUCGGAUUUACUGGGCGUAAAGGGUGCGUAGGUGGUGGGGUAAGUCGGAUGUGAAAUCUCGGAGCUCAACUCGGAAAGUGCAUUGGAAACUACCCUGCUCGAGGGUUGGAGGGGGGACUGGAAUACUUGGUGUAGCAGUGAAAUGCGUAGAUAUCAAGUGGAACACCAGUGGCGAAGGCGAGUCCCUGGACAACUCCUGACACUGAGGCACGAAAGCUAGGGGAGCAAACAG
RNAcentral lists this ribosomal RNA (427 nucleotides) under uncultured bacterium. Its description in RNAcentral is "bacterial SSU rRNA". It matches the Rfam family "Bacterial small subunit ribosomal RNA", at positions 355 to 775 of the family's 1533-position model. The record is from RNAcentral.